Molecule: small nucleolar RNA, 95 nt
Filed under: Vulpes vulpes (red fox)
Lineage: Eukaryota; Metazoa; Chordata; Mammalia; Carnivora; Canidae
Description: Small nucleolar SNORD12/SNORD106 (ENSVVUG00000007071.1)
Rfam family: Small nucleolar SNORD12/SNORD106
About the family: This family belong to the C/D class of snoRNA which contain the C (UGAUGA) and D (CUGA) box motifs.
Source: Rfam by way of RNAcentral
AAUAACACAGCUGAUAACAUAACUUUUUCCCCCAUCAGAUUAACCUUAUUGAUCUAGCCGAACCAUUAGCCAGUGUUUUUUUCUGAUGCAUUGGA